UGGGGAAUAUUGCACAAUGGGCGCAAGCCUGAUGCAGCCAUGCCGCGUGUAUGAAGAAGGCCUUCGGGUUGUAAAGUACUUUCAGAGGGGAGGAAGGCGAUGUGGUUAAUAACCGCGUCGAUUGACGUUACCCGCAGAAGAAGCACCGGCUAACUCCGUGCCAGCAGCCGCGGUAAUACGGAGGGUGCAAGCGUUAAUCGGAAUUACUGGGCGUAAAGCGCACGCAGGCGGUCUGUCAAGUCGGAUGUGAAAUCCCCGGGCUCAACCUGGGAACUGCAUCCGAAACUGGCAGGCUAGAGUCUUGUAGAGGGGGGUAGAAUUCCAGGUGUAGCGGUGAAAUGCGUAGAGAUCUGGAGGAAUACCGGUGGCGAAGGCGGCCCCCUGGACAAAGACUGACGCUCAGGUGCGAAAGCGUGGGGAGCAAACA
Molecule: ribosomal RNA, 427 nt
Filed under: uncultured bacterium
Lineage: Bacteria
Description: partial 16S ribosomal RNA
Rfam family: Bacterial small subunit ribosomal RNA
Source: RNAcentral